Arabidopsis thaliana (thale cress) is the source of this 121-nucleotide small nucleolar RNA. Lineage: Eukaryota; Viridiplantae; Streptophyta; Magnoliopsida; Brassicales; Brassicaceae. The record is from RefSeq.
GAGGAUGAUGAUAUUGAGGCUGCUGUUCCAUUGGCUGUCUGAGAUACCUGCAGUUCGUGAUCGUGACCUGUAAGUUUUGAGGCAGAGCGUUUAGUUUCGGAAGAAGCUGCAGGUUCUGACA